This is a long non-coding RNA of Oncorhynchus mykiss (rainbow trout), 922 nucleotides long. RefSeq lists it as uncharacterized. Lineage: Eukaryota; Metazoa; Chordata; Actinopteri; Salmoniformes; Salmonidae. The record is from RefSeq and is a predicted model, not a curated record.
AGAGAGAGAGAGGACUGGAAAGAGCUGUGAACCAUAGAGAAAGAGACAAUAUAUAUAUUGGCUGGAUUUACUGUGUAUGAGCUGGACUGUUUUGGACUUACCUGUUGGCGUUUGGACCUGGACCUACCGAGAACCCGAUUCGUGUACCGAACCCUGCUAUUCUUGACCUUGCCUGCAGCCUGGGUGGACCAGGACAGAGAAACAAACACACAGGGGGCAUGAAGACAAGGGCUUUAAAGUGACAACAGCAGUGAAAAAAUGGUCUUGAACAGAUUCAAUCUGCUGAUGCCCAAAAUGUCCAGAAUUCAUGGAGAGUGCAAAGAGAGUGAUUGCGGUAGAGUGACGAGUCUGAUGAAGAGGUUUAUAAGUUGAUUAAAAUGAUUAAGCAUUUGAUAGGCUUACAAAACCUUAAAAUGUACUUUUAUGUUUGAUCCUUAAGUACAUUUUGUAGCAAAUAAUUUUGAGUUCAAGACUUCUUCAGUUGUACUCAGGCUGGGAAAUUAAAUCUAAACCUAGCGCUGUGACAUUGAACUGAGUGAAUGGAAUAUGAAUGACAGUCAUCCAAUAUGCUGUAAUAGAAAUAAGGCCAUGCUCAUGGAGAAAAAAAUAAUAAUCCUCCCUCAUCUUAAACGGCACUGACAUACACGUUUCCCGUUAUAAAUCAGACCAGUCAUAAAACUGUGCAAGUGAGAACGAGCAUUAUAACUCUGCCUGAAAAACACCCAUUAUUCACCUUACAUUGUGACAAUAAUGCCCUUAUUUGUUGUGUACCUUGGAAGUAUAGGAAUUAGGCAAAGACAGUAUCUAAAGGAAUUAGCAAUGGUGAACUUGAUCAAAUGUCUUUGGAGGGAAGUGUUGGCAGAUUUGUUCUUUUGUAGUGACAUUUGCUGUAUCUGACCAUUUCUGAAAGACAAAAACAAUU